CCGCGGGAUUAGAGUUUGAUCCUGGCUCAGAAUCAACGCUGGCGGCGCGCCUAACACAUGCAAGUCGAACGAGAAAGCCGCAAGGCAAGUAAAGUGGCGUACGGGUGAGUAACACGUGGAUUAUCUGCCCUCUAGUGGGGAAUACCGUUGGGAAACCGACGACAAUACCGCAUAAGCUCGAGAGAGGAAAGCAGCAAUGCGCUGGAGGAGGAGUCCGCGGUCGAUUAGUUAGUUGGCGGGGUAAAAGCCCACCAAGACUGUGAUCGAUAGCCGGCCUGAGAGGGCACACGGCCACACUGGCACUGAAACACGGGCCAGACUCCUACGGGAGGCAGCAGUGGGGAAUCUUGCACAAUGGGGGAAACCCUGAUGCAGCGACGCCGCGUGAGCGAUGAAGCCCUUCGGGGUGUAAAGCUCUUUCGUCGGGGAAGAUUAUGACGGUACCCGGAGAAGCAGCUGCGGCUAACUACGUGCCAGCAGCCGCGGUAAUACGUAGGCAGCAAGCGUUGUUCGGAGUUACUGGGCGUAAAGGGUGCGUAGGCGGCUAUUUAAGUUUGGUGUGAAAUCUCCCGGCUCAACUGGGAGGGUGCGCCGAAUACUGAGUGGCUAGAGUGUGGGAGAGGAAAGUGGAAUUCCUGGUGUAGCGGUGAAAUGCGUAGAUAUCAGGAGGAACACCGGUGGUGUAAACGGCUUUCUGGACCAUAACUGACGCUGAGGCACGAAAGCGUGGGUAGCAAACAGGAUUAGAUACCCUGGUAGUCCACGCCCUANACGAUGCAUAUUUGGUGUGGGCCAUUCAUUUGGUCUGUGCCGGAGCUAACGCG
Molecule: ribosomal RNA, 824 nt
Filed under: uncultured bacterium
Lineage: Bacteria
Description: bacterial SSU rRNA
Rfam family: Bacterial small subunit ribosomal RNA
Source: RNAcentral